CGUCUCUUAAGAGACACGUGUCCCCAUGAGAGAGUUUUAUGUUUAGCUUUAUCUCUCUCGAAGGAUCUCUCCUCCUCUCUCUCCAAUCCACCGUCCCGACAUCGUCCAAUCCCUCGAUUUAUCUCUCCGACUCACCUCCUCCAAAACCCAAAAACCAGCACUUCUUAUUUUGUUCUGAUCUCUUCAACCUAUUCAAUCCUCCGCCUCUGAAACCUCCAUCACCGUACUCAUCAGCCACCACCACAUGUCCCUCACUAGCAGCGUGUCAUACCCUCUCUGUGCUAAGCAUCUCUUUGCUAACUCGCACGCUCAUCCUUUGUUUUCUCUCUCUGAUCGUCUUUACCUUUUGAUUCUUCCUUCUUCUCCUAUCAAACAGACAGAUCUUCCAUUAGUCUCAAAGUUUCCUUCCGAUAUGAAGAAAUCAAAUGAGAAAGGUAAAGCUAAGACCACCAAGGAAGCCUUGAAGCUAGUUGAUGACAAGAAGGUGGGAAAGAGGAAGGCACCGGCUGAGAAGCCUAGCAAGCAGGAGAAGAAGGCCAAGAAGGACCCUAACAAACCCAAGAGAGCUCCUAGUGCCUUCUUUGUCUUCCUUUACAAUAAACUCUGAGGAAUCUGGUCGACGAAGAAACAUGCGCCGAUGCUUACAUAGCACAACAAUAGAACUAGUCUCUUCAUUCUUGCAGGCCAAAAAUGUAUGGGGUUGUUGGUGUGGUCACUUGAUGUUUAUGUCCUAACAAAUGAGACCAAUGAAAGUCAAAAAAAUCGUUUAAGUCAAAAAGUCAAAAAGAUCGGUUAAGUCGAUGUUACUUCAUGUCUGUUUCGUUACUGGUAUGAAGUUGUAGCUUCUUCUGUUUGUUCGUCAUGUCUUCUCGUGUGGUCUUGUGAAAUCACAUGUUUUGUAUUGUUGUUGUGUUGUUGUGUAGUCUUGUGUCACAGACUAGAGUGUGGUUGAUUCACAUGUUUUGUAUUGUUGUUGUGUUGUUCUAUAUAUAUGUGUUUAUUCA
Brassica oleracea var. oleracea is the source of this 1004-nucleotide RNA transcript. It is a transcript of the gene named high mobility group B protein 1-like, with no coding region annotated. NCBI's taxonomy places the organism in Eukaryota, Viridiplantae, Streptophyta, Magnoliopsida, Brassicales, Brassicaceae. The transcript is spliced from 5 exons. The record is from RefSeq and is a predicted model, not a curated record.